GUGGGGAAUUUUGGACAAUGGGCGCAAGCCUGAUCCAGCAAUGCCGCGUGCAGGAAGAUGGCCUUCGGGUUGUAAACUGCUUUUGUACGGAACGAAACGGUCCUGGUUAAUACCCGGGGCUAAUGACGGUACCGUAAGAAUAAGCACCGGCUAACUACGUGCCAGCAGCCGCGGUAAUACGUAGGGUGCAAGCGUUAAUCGGAAUUACUGGGCGUAAAGCGUGCGCAGGCGGUGCUGUAAGACAGGCGUGAAAUCCCCGGGCUUAACCUGGGAAUUGCGCUUGUGACUGCAGUGCUGGAGUGCGGCAGAGGGGGAUGGAAUUCCGCGUGUAGCAGUGAAAUGCGUAGAUAUGCGGAGGAACACCGAUGGCGAAGGCAAUCCCCUGGGCCUGCACUGACGCUCAUGCACGAAAGCGUGGGGAGCAAACAGGAUUAGAAACCCGAGUAGUCC
This 450-nucleotide ribosomal RNA is filed under the name uncultured bacterium. Its description in RNAcentral is "partial 16S ribosomal RNA". It matches the Rfam family "Bacterial small subunit ribosomal RNA", at positions 354 to 796 of the family's 1533-position model. The record is from RNAcentral.